This 87-nucleotide small RNA is filed under the name Flavobacterium flevense. RNAcentral describes it as "Flavo-1 RNA". It matches the Rfam family "Flavo-1 RNA". The record is from RNAcentral. Lineage: Bacteria; Pseudomonadati; Bacteroidota; Flavobacteriia; Flavobacteriales; Flavobacteriaceae.
UUUUAGCCCUGAUGGCAGCGGCAUCCUUUCCUGCCUCCCGAAGCCUCGGGAGUGGCAGGAAAGAUACAGCGAACAGCAGGAUUAGCU